RNAcentral lists this long non-coding RNA (801 nucleotides) under Vulpes vulpes (red fox). RNAcentral's name for it is "lncRNA (ENSVVUG00000014810.1)". The record is from RNAcentral. Lineage: Eukaryota; Metazoa; Chordata; Mammalia; Carnivora; Canidae.
AUGGGAAUAAUAGCACUUUUCCUCCCUACCUUCAGAGAGAUGAGAAUCUCUCUGAGAAUCAGAGAGAUGCUAUUUAUGGAAAGACAAUAUAACCACAAAUCCCUGCCUGUAUACUAUAUGGUGAAUAGUCUGUCAUUACAGGAGGUGGCAUGCUGCUAUGGACAAAGUACUGGGAAAAAAAAUCAGGAGACCUGGGAUCCACUCCUGGCUGAGCUGAAAAAUCUCUUCAUGUUGGGACAUCCAAGAUGCUCUAGACUCAUACAACCUGUGAGUCAGAAAGAUAGAUUUCCAAGAAACCAGAACAGGCAUAGACACUCCCUCCCUCAUUCUCAGAUACAUGGGAAAUAUGUUCGCUUUCCUGACCUCAGAGGACUUCACAGCAAAGAAGUGGUCAGAGAAAACCCUGAAGAGCUUAAGGAGCAGCAAUGCAGGGGAAGGCAGCUUUCAGGUGAACACGCUCCCUGGGAAAUUCAGUUGCCUGCGGGAAUUUCAGGGGAGCAUCCCAGCAACCCCCAUGUCCCAUCACCACUUGUCCACAUAAGAAGUCAGGACCCUCCUCUCUUUUUCUGUAACUUUAUCACCCCUGGCUCUAAUUUUUCUCUGAAAUCUGUGGCUCUGGUCACCAUUGAUCCAUCCCGUCUUUUCCAUGUGCGUUGUGGUCUCAGCUGUCUCUCUUCCAGAAUGAUCCAUUGGAAGCCAGGCCCAUGCCCCAUACCUAUGCACUUUCCGCAGUGUUUCACACACUGCUUAAUAACUGAGUCAAAGGAUUGGUCCUCCAUGCCUACACAUACGGAGCUCUGA